This 66-nucleotide transfer RNA is filed under the name Helophilus continuus. RNAcentral describes it as "tRNA-Glu". Lineage: Eukaryota; Metazoa; Arthropoda; Insecta; Diptera; Syrphidae. The record is from RNAcentral.
AUUUAUAUAGUUUAAUAAAAACCUUACAUUUUCAUUGUAAAAAUAAAAUAAUUUUUUUUAUAAAUA